Molecule: ribosomal RNA, 245 nt
Filed under: uncultured bacterium
Lineage: Bacteria
Description: partial 16S ribosomal RNA
Rfam family: Bacterial small subunit ribosomal RNA
Source: RNAcentral
UACGUAGGGGGCGAGCGUUGUCCGGAAUUACUGGGCGUAAAGCGCGCGCAGGCGGUUCGCCAAGUUUGAGGCGACAAUCACCGGCUUAACUGGUGAAUGCCCUCAAAAACUGGAGGACUGGAGAGCGAGAGAGGGACAUGGAACUCCGGGUGGAGUGGUGAAAUGCGUAGAUAUCCGGAAGAACACCAAAGGCGAAGGCAGUGUCCUGGCUCGUUUCUGACGCUGAGGCGCGAAAGCCAGGGGAG